GACGAACGCUGGCGGCGUGCUUAACACAUGCAAGUCGAACGGAAAGGCUCCAGCUUGCUGGCGUACUCGAGUGGCGAACGGGUGAGUAACACGUGGGUGAUCUGCCCUGCACUUCGGGAUAAGCCUGGGAAACUGGGUCUAAUACCGGAUAGGACCGCACUUUGGUGUGUGUGGUGGAAAGGUUUUUCUGGUGUGGGAUGAGCUCGCGGCCUAUCAGUUUGUUGGUGGGGUAAUGGCCUACCAAGACGGCGACGGGUAGCCGGCCUGAGAGGGUGGACGGUCACAUUGGGGCUGAGAGGCGGCCCAGACCCCUACGGGAGGCAGCAGUGGGGAAGAUUGCACCAUGGGGGAAACCCUGAUGCAGCGACGCCGCGUGGGGGAGGAAGGCCUUCGGGUUGUAAGCUCCUUUCGCUAGGGACGAAGCUUUUUGUGACGGUACCUGGAGAAGAAGCACCGGCUAACUACGUG
Molecule: ribosomal RNA, 468 nt
Filed under: uncultured bacterium
Lineage: Bacteria
Description: partial 16S ribosomal RNA
Rfam family: Bacterial small subunit ribosomal RNA
Source: RNAcentral